Molecule: long non-coding RNA, 1316 nt
Organism: Phycodurus eques (leafy seadragon)
Lineage: Eukaryota; Metazoa; Chordata; Actinopteri; Syngnathiformes; Syngnathidae
Exons: 4
Source: RefSeq, a predicted model, not a curated record
CAUCAUUGCAGACUUGACACCGGCCAAAUGGGACGUCCAACAUCUAUGGUGUGCAGUGACAAUGUGCUUUAAAAAAAAAAAUAAAAUCCAUCACAUGAAGAUGUGCACAUGAUGACUCUCACUGCCGAGGAAGGACGACACACUUUUCCGCAAGCAGACGACCGGAGAUGCACGGGGCGAGACACAAACGCCCAUAAGUUGCUAAAAUGAAUCUUCAGGUCAUGUCCGGGGCUGCCAUAAGAGGAAGACUCAAGAACAAGUGCCUCCAACACAGAGGGGGAAAAGACAAAAGUUAUGAAAGAGAGGUCCAGAUAUGAUGAAGGCACACAUACGACGGCACCUUGGGUCUGUCUGUGGUCUAACACCAGUAUACCAUGCUCGCCAUCCCCGCAUUUGUCGCCGCAUGCCACACACAGUCUUGCCUUUUACGGGCUGCAGAUAAAGACAGGCAACAUUCCAUCUGUGACGAGACAGAGGAAGUCAAGACGUAAACACACAAACACACACACACUAGAGGCGUGUGAGCAGGUGGGCAUUAAGUCAGGCAACUAAACAGAUCACGUUGCGGUUUGAUAUCAGCAGACAGACAGAGGAGGCCGGUUUGUACCUGCGGGCAGCCAGCAGCACCCUCACCAGGAAUGUCCUCCCGCUUGUGAGACACAUAAAUGUAACUCUAGGCUUUCCUCUCAAACACCAACGUGACUGGCUGAAACGUCUUCAAAUUGCACUACUAAUAAUCACAAAUUUGAUCAGCAAAACUACAAUGGUAGUCAUAGGAAAGCAGACCAUCACCAAAUCCUAACAAUCCUAAUUUGCAUCAGCAACAUCAUCAAAUACCCACUUCGUGUAUGCCUGAAUUUUGUGAUUACGAUUCAUACAUAAUUCAAUGAGAACUUAAGGCAAGAGUUCCACAACUUUGCAAUGCUGCACAGAAGUGGAAGAAAAACUCUCCCUAAAUGUGUCAUCGUUUGAUUUUUGCGUGAUCUUGCUAUCAAUUGACCAUAAAAAGAUUUAAAAAAUAAAUAAAUAAAUAAAAAGUAUCACCAAAUCCUUAGUGUUAUGUAUUGCGAACCCUUCUGAAGCAAAUGUUUGCCGUAAUACUACAAUUGUACUUUAAACUGUGAUUUUGUUUUUUACACUGGCUGCCAUGGCAACCCCAUAUUAGCUUCUUUAGUGGUGGUCCUUACCAAGGUAAAGUAAAGAAUAUCGCUCAGAUAAUGAACCUGCUCUACCCUCCUGUACUUUGCUUUCAAGUUCAACCUGAGCCAAGAAAGAAAAGGUUAUCUAUUGUCAUGAUAUUUCAGCACACAUUCACA